CCCAGACUCCUACGGGAGGCAGCAGUGAGGAAUAUUGGUCAAUGGGCGAGAGCCUGAACCAGCCAAGUCGCGUGAAGGAUGACGGCCCUACGGGUUGUAAACUUCUUUUGUCAGGGAGCAAUUGGGUCCACGCGUGGGCUUAGCGAGAGUACCUGAAGAAAAAGCAUCGGCUAACUCCGUGCCAGCAGCCGCGGUAAUACGGAGGAUGCGAGCGUUAUCCGGAUUUAUUGGGUUUAAAGGGUGCGUAGGCGGAAUAUCAAGUCAGCGGUAAAAAUUCGGGGCUCAACCCCGGCCUGCCGUCGGAACUGGGUGCCUUGAGUGGGCGAGAAGUAUGCGGAAUGCGUGGUGUAGCGGUGAAAUGCAUAGAUAUCACGCAGAACCCCGAUUGCGAAGGCAGCAUACCGGCGCCCUACUGACGCUGAGGCACGAAAGUGCGGGUAUCGAACAGGAUUAGAUACCCCAGUA
This 465-nucleotide ribosomal RNA is filed under the name uncultured bacterium. RNAcentral describes it as "bacterial SSU rRNA". It matches the Rfam family "Bacterial small subunit ribosomal RNA", at positions 330 to 792 of the family's 1533-position model. The record is from RNAcentral.